GAUAUUGUCAGUCAAAUGAGAAACCUGAAACAUAAGCCACAGAAAGGUGUUGUCUCUGAAUUAAUCUCUUGAAAAAAGAAUACACUAGCAGAAAUUAAAAUGCCAGAACCUACACAGCCAACCUGAAUUUGGCUGUUUUAAAUUUGGCAAAACCUCAAAUUGUCAUGAUAUUCAAAAGAAUUGAAAGAAAUAGAUAUAUUAAUAUUGGAAAUUCAAUAAAACAAACUGCCCCCAACGCAAGUGAAUUUGCAAUGCAACCAAUUAAAGAAAACCCCAGCUUGCACAAAUGCGGGACAUAACACAUCACAUCAUUCUGAUAAAAUGUUAUAAUAACUUUGAAAAAACAAAAUUCAGAUUUAACAUGAAGCUUUGACUAAUGUAUCACCAAAUCCU
RNAcentral lists this unclassified non-coding RNA (393 nucleotides) under Hevea brasiliensis (rubber tree). Lineage: Eukaryota; Viridiplantae; Streptophyta; Magnoliopsida; Malpighiales; Euphorbiaceae. The record is from RNAcentral.